CCUACGGGGGGCUGCAGGCGCGAAAACUUUACAAUGCCGGCAACGGCGAUAAGGGGACCUCGAGUGCCAGGUUACAAAUCUGGCUGUCGCGAUGCCUAAAAAGCAUUGCAUAGCAAGGGCCGGGCAAGACCGGUGCCAGCCGCCGCGGUAACACCGGCGGCUCGAGUGGUAACCGUUAUUAUUGGGUCUAAAGGGUCUGUAGCCGGCCGGGUAAGUCUCUUGGGAAAUCCAGCAGCUUAACUGUUGGGCUUUCAGGAGAUACUGCCUGGCUCGAGGCCGGGAGAGGUGAGAGGUACUUCAGGGGUAGGGGUGAAAUCUUGUAAUCCUUGAAGGACCACCAGUGGCGAAGGCGUCUCACCAGAACGGACCUGACGGCAAGGGACGAAAGCUAGGGGCACGAACCGGAUUAGAUACCCUAGUAGUC
RNAcentral lists this ribosomal RNA (424 nucleotides) under uncultured Methanosaeta sp. Its description in RNAcentral is "bacterial SSU rRNA". It matches the Rfam family "Archaeal small subunit ribosomal RNA", at positions 322 to 746 of the family's 1478-position model. The record is from RNAcentral. Lineage: Archaea; Methanobacteriati; Methanobacteriota; Methanomicrobia; Methanotrichales; Methanotrichaceae.